CUUCGCCACUCUCUCUUCCGUGGAUGAUGGAAACUAAAAUAACUUAAGCCAACAGGUGUGUGUCGUGUCGGCGAGGACGCCAUGAUGCUUUAAAAUUCCACAACGGAGCCAACCUAAAUAUAUGCUGCUUUAUGGUUCCCCCUGCAACUUGAAACUGGAGCUCAGGAAAAAGAUGGAUGACUUGCCGCGCGCCUGCAGCCCUACUGCAUAAAGAUUUCUGUGACGACCGGGGCGCAUGGUGAUGCGGGGCUCGUUCUCCCAGGAAUGCAGACGGGCGUCAGACACAGCGUGCAGGGCCCUUCUGGAGAACUAGGAACAGACGUCUGUGGGAUGAUCCAGUCUGAAAGUGGCUAAUGCAGGCUUAGGAAGAAUGUUGUGAUGCUGCUGCUGCCUCCAUGAAGAUGCGCUGUUUAUUCAUAUACAGUAGAAAGUACUAGAAUGUG
Molecule: long non-coding RNA, 443 nt
Organism: Nerophis lumbriciformis (worm pipefish)
Lineage: Eukaryota; Metazoa; Chordata; Actinopteri; Syngnathiformes; Syngnathidae
Source: RefSeq, a predicted model, not a curated record